Long non-coding RNA from Anolis carolinensis (green anole), 2565 nucleotides. The record is from Ensembl. Lineage: Eukaryota; Metazoa; Chordata; Lepidosauria; Squamata; Anolidae.
AUGACAUUUUUUUUACACCUGCAGUUUUCUCCAGUACUGGACACAAGGCGACCUACAAUAAAUCAAAAAUAUAGCCUUGCACAGAAAACCCAUGAUAGGUGUCAGCUUCUCUUUGCUUGGGCUUUGGACACACUGUUGAGUGAUCCAGAGAAGAAGGAUAUUGUCUGCUGUUUCCUGCACAUUCAUUUGAAGGUAAUCCAGAACAUCCAAAGCUGUCUGUGCUUUUUCAGCACUGGACAAUCAGCUUAAGAGUUUACUGUAAACUUAAUAUUAGUGUUGGGAAACCAUUGUAGUACAUUAUGGAAAAAACCACCUUCAAACAUCUUCCACAAAAAUGUUUAUAUGAUCUAAUCAUAUUUGCUGAAGAUACAGUCUUUGUAUUUCAACUUUUAUCUAUAAAAAGGAUAAUUCUGUUUCCCAUUUGGUGAUUUUUAUGUUAAUUUUAUGUUAUUUUUAAUAUAAAAAAUAGUUGUUGCUGCUGUUACUGCUGUUGCUACUGUUGUUUUGCUCUCUAUAAUAUACCAGAGGCACCAUCAACUUUGGUGUGAUAGAUUGCAUUAGGUAAAAUGCACUAAUUGAAUGUUCUGUGACAUUAGAAAAUUUGAGAUAUAAUUGGGUCACUGAACUACAAGAAGCUCUGUAAAAGAUGACAAAACACAUUGCAAAGCUCGCAUAAGACAAAUGAACAUAAAAAGAAUCAUUCUCUAAGGGGUUCUGUUAAUUGAAUACAUUUAAUAUUUUCAGAGGCAGUUAAAGCUGACACCUGCUGUUUUAUAGACUGACGUGGUCUGGAGCUAUCUUGCUCUUUCCAGUAAGCUGAAGAAGCAAAAUAUCUAAUUAAAAUGAAGGAAGAAAGGCAUUUAGUCAAAUUGGUUAAAAUGUUGUUUUUUUAAGGGGGAGAAGUCUAUUUCUCUGAUCCACCAACAGUUUGUCAAAACUAUCAAGUAAAGUACAUAUAAAAGCCCAGGAAAAUAUAUUUGAACAAAAUCUUUGCAAAGUUUUCAAAUAUACCCAUUUUGAAAAGUUUAGAUGAAAAUCUGAUUGAUCAUGGACACUGAAAGAACUUUGAGUAUGUCAAUAUUAUGAUAAAACAGAAGAAGAUUCUAUGAGAUCUAUUAGGGUAAAUAUGUUUCCCAUAGAUGCUUAAAAGAAGUCCAGAAGCAGGACAUGGGACAAUUGCCUCUGUCACUGUUCCCUAGAAAAUGGUAUUCAGAUGCACAAUACCUUUAAUCCUAGAGCUAAUAUAGAACCAUCAUGACUAGUAGGCAUUGAAUCUUAUAACCAUAGGGUAUGGGACCUCAAGGGCUAUCUAAUCCAGUGUCUUGUCAUGUAUGAAAAGACAGUUAAAUAAUUCCUGAUAGAUAUUUUCUGUUGAAAGACCUCCAAUGAAGGAUCACCAGAAAGUUCUUCUUAAUGUUAAGGCAGUAUCUCUUUUCUUGUCAUUAGUAUUCUUGGUUUUGGUCUCUGGACACCUGAAAAUAAGCUUGUUUCAUCCUCGGCAUGACAUCAAGUUAAGUUUAUUCUUCAUUGAUAGGCACAUUCUCUUUCAGCUUGUAUAACUGUGUUUUUAAACUGCUUUAAGUCAGUGGCCAUUACCACAUUUCAAUGAUGAAAGUUAUUAGAUGAUUGAAUUGUUGUCUUUUGGACUGUAUGGUCAUGUUCCAGAAGCUUUCUCUCCUGACGUUUCGCCCACAUCUAUGGCAGGCAUCCUCAGAGGUUGUAAGGUAUGUUGGAAACUAGGCAAGGGAGAUUUAUAUAUCUGUGUAAGGUCAAGGUUGAGAGAAAGGUCCAGGCUCUGUGUUUGGUAGUCCCUAUGUGGUUUGGGCACUGUUUUUGGUGGUCCCUGUAGGAGUCUACUAUAUAACAUGCAGGUGUGGACAAGUCUACAUAGGGACCAUCAAACACAGUACCCAAGCAUGAAUCAAAGAACGUGAAAGGCACUGCAGACUACUUCAACCAGAGAAGUCAGCCAUAGCAGAGCACCUGAUGAACCAACCUGGACACAGCAUAUUAUUUGAGAACACAGAAAUGCUGGGCCACUCUAACAUACCAUGUCAGACUACACAGUGAAGCCACUGAAAUCCACAAGCAUGUGGACAAUUUCAACAGAAAAGAGGAAACCAUGAAAAUGAAGAAAAUCUGGCUACCAGUAUUUUGAAAAACUCUAAAAUCAGAACAGUAAAUAAAGAACAACACUCAGAAAACAGAGAAAUUCCAGACAUGAAACAAUCAAGGACAGCUAAUACCUCCAAACAAAGGAUUCUCCCAGACAGGAAGAAGCCAGGCCUUGAGGCCACAGGGCCAUUAAAUGCUAAUUAAGGUGAGUAAUUACAACAUCCACACCUGCCUCCAACAGACAAAAGUUCUUUCUCCCACCCUGGACCUUACACAGAUAUAUAAAAACCUCCUUUGCCUAGUUUCCAACAUACCUCACAACCUCUGAGGAUGCCUGCCACAGAUGUGGAUGAAAUUGUCAGGAGUGAAAGCUUCUGGAACAUGGCCAUACAGCCCAAAAGACUCACAGCAACCCAGUGAUUCCAGCCAUAAAAGCCUUCAACAAUAUAG